UCAAUUAAAUAAAUCAAACGAGGCCCAACGAAGAUAAUAAAUAACCAAGGCCCAACUGAAAUGAUACAGCAGCCCAACUAAGUGAAUAAUCAAAGGCCCAUAUAAAUAAAAUCAGAGGCCCAAUCAGUAAUUAAAAACGGCCCAAUUACAAUAAAUACAACAAGGCCCAAAAAUAAAUAAAUAAUGAAGCCCAAAGAAAAUAAAAUAAAGGCCCAAAUUUUCGGCCCAACUCAAUUAAAUAUAAGCCCAAAACAAAUUGAAGAGCCCAACUCCAAAUACACUCGGUUCUCUCUCUCAGCAAUAAUACACUCAUCUCUCUCUCUCU
Molecule: long non-coding RNA, 325 nt
Filed under: Salvia miltiorrhiza (redroot sage)
Lineage: Eukaryota; Viridiplantae; Streptophyta; Magnoliopsida; Lamiales; Lamiaceae
Description: long non-coding RNA (SMIL_LNC012603)
Source: RNAcentral